GUCCGGUUCCAGCGCAGCUGCGCCGCCGCCUCCGACGGGCUCUCGAGGGCCGAGAAGACGGUGGCGCCGGCGCUCAGGGAAGUCCUGCCUAUGAAGGGAUCAGGCCAGAGGGAUGCCAGUCAGCUUGAAGAAUCACGUAAUAGAUAUGAAAUGUCCCGGUAACUUUCCAUGAAGAAAAGAAGCUCAGCUUAAGCAGCGGAGAACAUGGUUUAGCUACUUCAGCACUGACAAAAUAUUCCAAGCAUCACUGAAUCAUGGUUUCUAAGAAUUAGAGCUGUUUGACAGCUUUUCAAAAUAUUUUGACAACUCUUUUUGCUAAAGUUUAUAACUUAAAGUCUUGGAAUUUGUCACCGUUUUGCAAAAAUAGUCCAUUUUCUCAUUGGUUAUUGAGGUGGGGGGAAGAUUACAUAAUGGAAAUGUCCUUUUUUUUUUUUUAUUCUUUAAAAUCUUCCUUAAAAUGUAUGAUCCUUUUCCAAGUAACUAACUCCUGGAAGAAAUCCAUUUGCUUGAUACAAAUCCUGCACAACUGCAGGACUUGAGCCACAGUUUUAUUACUCUAAUACAGGUACCACAGUUUGAGGGAAGGUCCUGGAGCUGUGUGGCGGACAGAUGAAUGAAUUUUUUUUGCCUUAAACAUUUCUUGGUGCAUGGGGUGCAGGCAGGCCACAACCCCGAACAAGCCAUCUGUCCCUGGCGGAAACAGGACUGGGCUGCUGCGACCCCCGAGAUGGUCUCCCUGCGACCACCCAGGACACACCGAGCCUGCACUGAACAAGACCACAGUCGGGCAGAGACUUUGGGAUCUGGACUGUAAAUUAUUGUCCGUUUUUAGCACAACUUCUAUAAAACUUGCUUGGCAUGAGUGGCUAAAUUUGCUGAAGCCUUAGGCUGCACUCCCUAGUUCAGUGAGAAAGGGCCCAGAGCUGCUGCAGGCGGGAAUGAUAAGGGAGUUACCAGCAAUUUGCAUUCCUGUGCACUGCUGAAACAGUGCUAAUUGCUGGAGUUACCACCUCUUUGUCAGACCUUGAGAGAUAAUGGCUGGACCCAAGAACGGAGACACACCUGUCAGCAGAAACAGCAACAGUAAACGGCCUACCUAGGGACAGUGAUGAGACCCAAUAAGGAGCAGGAGACCCCAGACCCAAAUAUUACUAUUGGUCUGAACUAUCACGUGAGGGGUGGGAAACUUAAUUUGAAAAAGCUAUAAUUGCCGAGGGAUUUCUUUGUUUCCCUCUCUCUCGUCCCUCGUCCCUUGUCCCUCGUCGGAGGCACCCAGCUUGAGCUGUGAUUCGAACGGAGUCAGCGGAACAUCAUCGGCCUCGGAGUGGUGGUAGCUAGCUUCCUCUCUCCUUUUCCAACUUUCUCCAUCUUUUCCCCUUAUUCUCGCUUCCUUUUUCACUUCUCCUCCCCUUCGCCUUCCCCCCCCCCCCACCUUUUCUCCCCACUUCGUGGAAAAUAAAGGUAAAAGGUUGUACGAUAUUUGACCGGUUUUAGCAUCUUAAUCUCGUCCUUGGGAUCGUAACGAAACCCUCCCGAUAUUGGAUCGGGACAAGCUGCUGGUGGGUUCUUACAUAAGGAAAACUCCUAAAGGCAGUCGUCUGGUUAAAAUAAUGAUGUUUUUACAAAUUUACGUGAUAAAUUGAAUAAAAUUGCCAGGCAUUUGGCCAAAAUAUUACCUUAUUUAUAAUCAUUUGCCUAAGAAAUUUUUAAAAGCUGAUGGUCAACUCUGCUUUGUUGGACAAUAAAUGUUGAUGUUUACUGCA
Long non-coding RNA from Dromaius novaehollandiae (emu), 1763 nucleotides. RefSeq lists it as uncharacterized. The transcript is spliced from 2 exons. Lineage: Eukaryota; Metazoa; Chordata; Aves; Casuariiformes; Dromaiidae. The record is from RefSeq and is a predicted model, not a curated record.